UAGGUUAACGAGGCGAACCGGGGGAACUGAAACAUCUAAGUACCCCGAGGAAAAGAAAUCAACCGAGAUUCCCCCAGUAGCGGCGAGCGAACGGGGAGCAGCCCAGAGUCUGAAUCAGCUUGUGUGUUAGUGGAACGGUCUGGAAAGUCCGACGGUACAGGGUGAUAGUCCCGUACACCAAAAUGCACAGGUUGUGAACUCGAAGAGUAGGGCGGGACACGUGGUAUCCUGUCUGAAUAUGGGGGGACCAUCCUCCAAGGCUAAAUACUCCUGACUGACCGAUAGUGAACCAGUACCGUGAGGGAAAGGCGAAAAGAACCCCGGCGAGGGGAGUGAAAAAGAACCUGAAACCGUGUACGUACAAGCAGUGGGAGCACCUUCGGGUGUGACUGCGUACCUUUUGUAUAAUGGGUCAGCGACUUAU
Molecule: ribosomal RNA, 424 nt
Filed under: Klebsiella pneumoniae subsp. ozaenae
Lineage: Bacteria; Pseudomonadati; Pseudomonadota; Gammaproteobacteria; Enterobacterales; Enterobacteriaceae
Description: partial 23S ribosomal RNA
Rfam family: Bacterial large subunit ribosomal RNA
Source: RNAcentral